GAUGAACGCUGGCGGCGUGCCUAAUACAUGCAAGUCGAGCGAACAGACGAGGAGCUUGCUCCUCUGACGUUAGCGGAGGACGGGUGAGUAACACGUGGAUAACCUACCUAUAAGACUGGGAUAACUUCGGGAAACCGGAGAUAAUACCGGAUAAUAUAUUGAACCGCAUGGUUCAAUAGUGAAAGACGGUUUUGCUGUCACGUAUAGAUGGAUCCGCGCCGCAUUAGCUAGUUGGUAAGGUAACGGCUUACCAAGGCAACGAUGCGUAGCCGACCUGAGAGGGUGAUCGGCCACACUGGAACUGAGACACGCUCCAGACUCCUACGGGAGGCAGCAGUAGGAAAUCUUCCGCAAUGGGCGAAAGCCUGACGGAGCAACGCCGCGUGAGUGAUGAAGGUCUUCGGUUCGUAAAACUCUGUUAUUAGUGAAGAACAAAUGUGUAAGUAACUAUGCACUUCUUGACGGUACCUAAUCAGAAAGCCACGGCUAACUACGUG
Molecule: ribosomal RNA, 497 nt
Filed under: uncultured bacterium
Lineage: Bacteria
Description: partial 16S ribosomal RNA
Rfam family: Bacterial small subunit ribosomal RNA
Source: RNAcentral